UGAAGCAGUCCAAUGCCUUUCUGAAAGGUGAAAUCACAACUAUACAAAGUCGUCACUUGAUUUACCAGGACAUCGGAGUGUCUAUCCUGGGAGAUCCAAGAACAAUGAUCCAAUGAUCCAGCAGACUUGAUAUCUGGUCCUGGCCUCCAGAACACUUGAAGCUACUUCAGCAAUUCUCUUAAAAUGCGCCCCAGUCAGGUAAAGAAGCCGAGCCGCUGUCCUUCAACGUGAGGGACAGGGGAAAUGAGACCAAACU
Molecule: long non-coding RNA, 256 nt
Organism: Fukomys damarensis (Damara mole-rat)
Lineage: Eukaryota; Metazoa; Chordata; Mammalia; Rodentia; Bathyergidae
Exons: 3
Source: RefSeq, a predicted model, not a curated record